AGAGUUUGAUCCUGGCUCAGAAUGAACGCUGGCGGCAUGGAUUAGGCAUGCAAGUCGAACGGAGACCCAGGCUUCGGCCUGGCGAUCAGUGGCGAAAGGGUGAGUAACACGUGAGUAACCUGCCCCCGAGUUUGGAAUAGCCCCGGGAAACCGGGAUUAAUACCGAAUGCGGUGCGACCGACUCCUGUCGGUUUCACCAAAGGUCCGCCGCUCGGGGAUGGGCUCGCGACCCAUUAGCUUGUUGGUGAGGUAACGGCCCACCAAGGCUAUGACGGGUAGCUGGUCUGAGAGGAUGGUCAGCCACACUGGGACUGAGACACUGCCCAGACUCCUACGGGAGGCUGCAGUCGAGAAUCAUCCGCAAUGGGCGAAAGCCUGACGGUGCGAUGCCGCGUGAGGGAUGAAGGCCUUCGGGUUGUAAACCUCUGUCAGGAGGGACGAAGAAGUGACGGUACCUCCAGAGGAAGCCAUGGCUAACUACGUGCCAGCAGCCGCGGUAAUACGUAGAUGGCGAGCGUUAUUCGGAUUUACUGGGCGUAAAGGGUCCGCAGGGGGUUUGCCUAGUCUGAUGUGAAAUCCCGAGGCUCAACUUCGGAACUGCAUUGGAUACUGGUGAACUAGAGUGCACGAGGGGUGAGCGGAAUUCCUGGCGUAGCGGUGGAAUGCGUAGAUAUCAGGAAGAACACCGAUGGCGAAGGCGGCUCACUGGCGUGCUACUGACCCUCAUGGACGAAAGCGUGGGUAGCGAACAGGAUUAGAUACCCUGGUAGUCCACGCUGUAAACGUUGUGCACUAGAUGUGGGUGGUUUUGAUCCCACUCGUGUCCAAGCUAACGCGUUAAGUGCACCGCCUGGGGACUACGGCCGCAAGGCUAAAACUCAAAGGAAUUGACGGGGGCCCGCACAAGCGGUGGAGCAUGUGGCUCAAUUCGAGGCAACGCGAAGAACCUUACCUGGGUUUGACAUACACCGGACCGCCUUCUGAAAGGAGGGCUUCCCUUCGGGGCCUGUGUACAGAUGCUGCAUGGCUGUCGUCAGCUCGUGUCGUGAGAUGUUCGGUUAAGUCCGGCAACUAGCGCAACCCGUGUCGUCAGUUGCCAUCAGGUAAUGCUGGGCACUUUGGCGAGACUGCCCGUGUCAAGCGGGAGGAAGGCGCGGAUGACGUCAAGUCCGUAUGGCUCUUACAUCCAGGGCUGCACACGUGCUACAAUGGACGGUACAAUGGGAAGCAAUACCGCGAGGUGGAGCAAAUCCGUAAAAGCCGUCCCCAGUUCGGAUUGGAGUCUGCAAUUCGACUCCAUGAAGUCGGAAUCGCUAGUAAAGGGGUAUCAGCAACGGCCCCUUGAAUACGUUCCCGGGCCUUGUACACACCGCCCGUCACAUCAUGGAAGCCGGCUGCACCCGAAGUCCGUGGUCCGACCCUUAGGGGAGGAAGCGGCCGAAGGUGUGUCCGGUGACUGGGAUGAAGUCGUAACAAGGUA
This 1480-nucleotide ribosomal RNA is filed under the name metagenome. RNAcentral describes it as "bacterial SSU rRNA". It matches the Rfam family "Bacterial small subunit ribosomal RNA". The record is from RNAcentral.